UAGGCGUUAGUCUAAACAAGACAGCUGAUUUCGACUCAGCAAAUCUGGUCAAACACCAGACACCUAC
RNAcentral lists this transfer RNA (67 nucleotides) under Iguana iguana (Common green iguana). RNAcentral's name for it is "transfer RNA-Arg". The record is from RNAcentral. Lineage: Eukaryota; Metazoa; Chordata; Lepidosauria; Squamata; Iguanidae. RNAcentral also lists the same sequence under 1 other name.